AUUGGUAAUUUAAAAAGACUGUUAAUGCGCAACACCGAACACAAUAACGUCAAUGUCAUCUGUCUAUCAAGUGCAAGUCAAUUCAACGUCAACUGUCAACUGUCAUUCUCAACACUAAUCUGUAAUUAAUUUUCACUAACUGAAAAAAAAAUGUACGCUUCAAUCAAAAUUAAAAUCACUGAAGAUAAUCCUGACAAUAUUAUUGAAAUUACACAAAUUCCACCAACAAUACUAAGAAAUCACAUUCUCCUCAACAUUUUUGGACCUAACGAGCUGGAUUCGUCGGCGUCACGAUCAAGAUCAAGAAAAGAAGAUCGAGUCGGGCAAAUCCUUUGUUCACAAUUCACUAAUUCCCUCCCUUUACCGUUCUCGUUUACCCUUUUUCCGUGUUAACUUCUUAUUAAAAUAUACUGGACUUCGCUUCUUUACUGUAAGUACUUUUAUAAACCUCCAUAAAAAUGAUUAGUGACGAACAAAAUGUGAAUAUUCCACGAUCGCCACAUAACGUCAAAAUGGCGGAACUAAUUAGAAAACGUGGCACGUACAAAGGGCGUCUUACUAUUUUUGAAAAAUUCAUAUCUAAAUUCGACUUAACUAAUACUUCAUUAUCACCAAUUCAAAUGUCAGAAAUUAACUUGAGAUUUAAAUCCAUCAGUAGUUUAUAUAAUGUAUUUAAUGACUUACAAACACAAAUCGAAGAAGCGUGCCGGGAUGUAGAUUUAACAAAACAAUAUGAAGAAAGAGAAGUGUUUGAAGAACAGUAUUACAGAGCUUUAGCCUCCGCAGAGUGCUUAAUCAAACUUAAUGACGCUUCUAGUUCUAAGUGCACCCCAUGUGGGGAACACUCAAAUAAGCCACUAUCUAUUAAGUUACCGGACAUCAAAUUACCGACGUUUGAUGGAUCAUAUGACCAUUGGCUAGAGUAUAAAAACUCCUACAUAACUAUGAUCCACUCACGCACAGAUUUAGACCCCAUACAAAAAUUUCAUUACCUGAAGUCCUCGCUCAAUGCGGCAGCAUUGCAGGUCAUCAGCGCAUUAGAGUUCACUGCAGAGAAUUAUGCACAUGCGUGGGAUUUACUUCAAAAUAGGUAUAAUAAUAAUCGUUUGCUAAUAUAUAACCAUGUCAAAGCUUUGUUUUCCAUUACAUCCUUGAAUAAAGAAUCUGCCCCACUAAUUAGGAAGUUAAUUGAUACUAUUCUUAGAAAUCUUAGGGCUCUGAGUACACUAGGUGAGCCUACUGAAUCAUGGGACACAUUAAUUAUAUACUUAGUUGUAAGUAAACUCGACCUAUCCACUGAGCGCAAAUGGGAACAACAUAAAGGGUCUUAUAAUUUAAAUUCACACCAAGAAUCAAACCCAGUUAAGCUAGAUCAUUUAAUACAGUUUUUAAGGGAUAGGGCAGAUGUUUUGGAUGUUUUAAAAACUAAUUGCAGUAAGAGUGACUCUAGACACAAUAUGAUUAAUAACGCUAAUAAUAAUAAUAAUCAAUCAAUUAGGAAAGUAUCCUUCAAUCAACAUCAGUCGCACAGUCAUGUUACUUCACAAGUUAACAAAAACAAUUCACAUUCCAAAUACACUCAAGCUUGCCCUAUGUGUGAUGAUUCACAUCCAAUUUAUUCAUGUACUAAGUUUCUAGAUUUAUCGAUUAAUGAUAGAAUUAAAUUAGUGGAUUCCAAGAAGUUAUGCAGGAACUGUCUUCGCAGAAAUCACACUAGUUCGGACUGCCUAUUUGGUCCGUGUAAGAAGUGCUCAUCCAAACAUAAUACACUUCUGCAUAGUCAUGUAGUUAUUGAAAAUGUAAACGCAUCAACAUCAUAUGUACACACAAAUACAUCUUUGCCAGUUGAUAUGAGCCCUUCAUCUCACUCAACUGCCUUGAACUGUACCGAAUAUCCCUCUAAGUCACACACAAAGGAGAUUACUUUAAAUAAUUAUAAUUCACACAACUUAGUUUUGCUAUCUACUGCCUUGGUAGACGUAGUAGCUAGUGAUAAUAAAUUACAUACAGCACGGGUUUUGCUGGACACUGGCAGUCAAAUAUGCCUUAUUAACCAAUCAUUUGCACACAAAAUAAACGCACAACUUAUACAGUCCUCUGUUCAAGUUAUGGGAGUAGGUCAUGCAGUCACUCAAAGCGCACAUAAGUGUACUGUUAAAAUACACUCAAGAGUAAACAAUUUUCAUACACACAUACAAUGUUUGGUUUUACCUCGCAUCACAGCCAGUAUGCCACCAUGCCAGUUAGACAUUAGUAAAAUUUGUAUUCCAAACAACAUUAAACUUGCAGAUCCUAAUUUUCAUCAUCCUUCUGAUAUUGAUAUUUUAAUAGGUGUUGAUAAAUUUUGGGAAUUUCACAACAAGGGUUUCAUAAAGCUAUCAACAGGGCCAUAUUUACAUGAAACCAAACUAGGUUGGGUCAUAUCUGGACCAAUACACACAAGUGCUAACUUGCGCAUCAAUAAUCAAGUUAGUUGUAACCUAACUAGUAGUUUAGAUAGUCAAUUAAAAAGAUUCUGGGAGUUGGAAGAAAUUCCUUCCUCGGGGAGCAAAAUGCUCACAGCAGAUGAACUCACUUGUGAACAAAUUUUCUUAUCAACUCACCACCGAGAACCUGAUGGUAGGUUUUCUGUUAGAAUUCCUCUAAAAGAACCCGCUGAUGUUUUAGGGGACAGCUAUUCAUUAGCCGAGAAGAGAUUUUAUUCAUUGGAACGCAAGUUUAGAAAUUCACCUGAUCUUAAAGAAAAGUAUUGUGAAUUUAUGCGCACAUAUGAACAAUUGGGGCAUAUGACACAAAUUGACACUUAUAGUUAUCCUUAUUAUAUGUUACCACAUCAUGGUGUUAUUAAUGAAAAUUCAAAAACAACAAAACUACGUACCGUGUUUGAUGCAAGUGCUGUCACCAGUACAGGAAAAUCCUUAAAUAGUAUACAACAUAUUGGGCCUACUUUACACAAUGAUAAUUUUUCUAUUCUUCUUCGUUUUCGUCAAUACAAAUAUGUUGCAUGUGCUGACAUAGAGAAAAUGUACCGACAAAUUAAUGUACAGACUGAUCAACGCACUUUACAGUUAAUUUUAUGGCGAGAGAAUCCUUCUGACUCUUUGAAAAUAUUUAGGCUCAAUACGGUUACAUAUGGUACUGCAUCGGCUCCUUAUUUGAGUAUUAGAUGUUUAAAGCAACUUGCACAGGAAUGUGAAAAUAAGUACACUGUCCCAGGAGAGGAUAACAAUUAUGUGUCUAAAAUAAUCAAUGAAGAUUUUUUUGUUGAUGAUCUAAUCACUGGCCAUGACAAUCAUGAUACCCUCAUGCAAAUUUGUGAUCACAUCACAUCAGUUUUAGCCUCAGGAUGUUUUCCAUUACAUAAAUGGUUAUUUAAUACUUGCUUAAACACACCUAAUGAAUCAAGACAUUUAUCUUUAGGAGAUGAUUGUUCAAAUAAAACUCUCGGUUUGGGUUGGUUCACUCAAAGUGAUGAAUUAUAUUUCACUACCAAACUUAAGGUAAACACACACACUGUUACUAAACGUUCAAUGUUAUCUGUAAUUGCUCAGAUUUAUGAUCCACUUGGGUUGUUAUCACCAACAAUCAUAUGUGCCAAAAUCUUAUUGCAAAAAUUAUGGCUUUCCAAACUUGACUGGGAUGACCCCGUUCCUCAUGAUGUGGUUCAGUCUUGGGAAAAGUUUAUUAAAUCAUUUGACUGUUUAAAGGAUAUUCGCAUUCCUCGACAUGUUAUAGGUUCACAUAAUCAAUACAUUGAACUUCACAUUUUCAGUGAUGCUUCACAAAGUGCUUAUGGUGCUUGUAGUUAUAUACGUUCUUAUUCAGACAAUUCACCAGUGUUUAUCAAAUUGUUAUGUUCAAAAAGUAAAACAGCUCCAUUAAAAGCUAUAAGUAUUCCUCGAUUAGAACUAUGUGGAUCUUUAGUGGGUGCCAAAUUGUUUGCAAAAAUAAGUAAAUCAUUGCGACUUAAAUUUCAUAAAGUAUAUUUUUGGACGGACUCCACCAUAGUGCUUGGAUGGCUUCGCAUGUCACCACAUCUUUUAAAAUCAUUUGUACAAAACCGAGUUACUGAGAUUAAUGAUAUUGCAAGUGAAGCUUGUUGGAGACACGUUAGCAGUGGGGACAACCCUGCUGAUUUGUUAUCUCGAGGCAUGAGUUUUGAUGCGCUUGAUAAAUGUCAAUUAUGGUGGAAUGGUCCUGCUUUUUUACACAAUCAUCAUUCAGAAUGGCCACAAAGGCAUUUUACAAAAGAAGUUCCUUCAGAUUUACCAGAAUUAAAAUCUGCAAGUGUAACUGAGAUGUCACUACAUUUAAAUUUAUAUAGUGGGUUAUUUGAUUUCAAUCGGUUUUCAUCAUUUAAUCGCUUAAAGCGCAGUGCAGCCUACGUACUACGAUUUAUUCAAAAUUCUCGUACAAAACGCAAUAAUCGUUUGGUUGGUCCGCUCUCGGUUGAAGAGCUGAAUACUUCCAGUACAUUAUUGACGCGAAUAUCACAAAUAGAGUCAUUUCCUUUAGAGUACAACUGUUUAACGAAAAAUUUAAAACUAAAAUCUACUAAAAGUAUUACCGGUUUAUCUAUUUUUCUGGAUAAAGAUGGGUUAAUACGCAUAGGUGGUAGACUUGCAAAUUAUGACAAUUUUUCUUACAAUAAAAAGCAUCCUGUUUUACUCGAUAGCAAACAUUGUUUCACUCGUUUGUUAUUUGCAUUUGAACAUAAAAGAUUAUUCCACGCAGGACCUCAGUUACUUUUAUAUCACAUUAGAGAGGAAUGGUGGCCUUUAAAAGGUAGAAAUUUGGCUAGACAAACAGUUCAUAGAUGUGUUACUUGCACACGUUUCAAAGGUCAAACCUUGACACCCAUUAUGGGAAAUCUACCCUCAGAACGUUUUCAAUCAGGUUUUCCCUUCAUGCGCUGCGGAGUGGAUUAUGGAGGCCCAAUUUUGAUACUUAAUCGACGAGGUAGGGGUGCGCGAUUGGAAAAGAGUUAUAUUUGCUUAUUUGUUUGUUUUAGUACUCGUGCGGUGCAUUUGGAAUUAGUCACUAGUUUAACAACUGAUGGAUAUUUACAGGCUCUGAAAAAAUUUAUAUCUAGGCGUGGAAAACCAUUAGAAAUUCACUCAGAUAAUGCCAAAACGUUUAUUGGUGCUAUGAAAGAGUUUUCCGAUUUCAUAGACAACAAUUCAGAUGCAAUAGUAGAGUAUGCACAUGAUAAUCAUAUCAAAUUUAAAUUUAUUCCACCUUAUGCGCCUCAUUUUGGAGGUUUAUGGGAGGCAGGCAUCAAAUCCUGUAAAUUUCACUUAAAACGCGUGGUAGGCAAUGCCCAUUUAACUUAUGAAGAAUUUAGCACGGUUUUAGCCCAAAUUGAGGCUAUUCUAAAUUCUCGUCCGAUUUCCCCUUUGUCCUCUAAUUCCUCAGACCUUUUACCUCUUACCCCCGCUCACUUCCUCAUUGGCCGCCCACUGACAGCACCAGCUUCUGAAGAUCUGACUACUACACCAUCACAUCGGUUGACACGCUAUCACAGAAUUGAACAACUCAGACAACAUUUCUGGCAACGUUGGUCUAAGGAGUAUGUCUCUGAACUCCAAACUAGAACUAAAUGGAAGAGUCCAAGUCGAGAUAUCACCGAAGACAUGUUAGUCCUUAUAAAAGAAGAUAAUUCUCCACCCUUAAAAUGGCGUCUUGGAAGAGUCACUGAAGUCUCAAGAGGCAAAGAUGGAGUAGCUCGAGUUGCCUAUAUUCGCACAUCUGAAGGCAUAAUUCAAAGGGCUUGUUCGAAAAUAUGCCCCAUCUUUCCAGAGGACGAGGACCCUGAAGAAGAAGACAUUGGAAGAGUUCUUCCAAGGCCGGGGGCAUGUUAAUGCGCAACACCGAACACAAUAACGUCAAUGUCAUCUGUCUAUCAAGUGCAAGUCAAUUCAACGUCAACUGUCAACUGUCAUUCUCAACACUAAUCUUUACGAUAAUCGGUGGAUUAGUGUUCCUGUUCUUCGCCGUGAGUGCACUAGUGAUCGGCCCGGGCGAAUAGAUCAAUAAAUACGGUACUCGAGUUAAGUUGAUCGCACAUUGUGCUCCAAGAUCCGGCUUUACGAUUAUAUACUCUCUCUCAUCUGUUAUAUAUUAGUGAUAAGAAAAAGAUGAGAGAUUUAUUUGGGAUAAGAAAUGAAUGACAUAAUAUUUACUGUGACAUAUUACAAAUAGGUGCUUAAAUUACGGCCAGACACAUUUACCAUACAAAAUCUAGGAAUAUAUUAUCAAAGGCAAUACAGUUAAAUUAAGCCUAAAAUAACACAAAUAGACAUACUAAACGACUGAAAUAUAAAUAACAUUCACUUAACUGUUUUAUAUAGGCAACCUCACAGUUGCAGUGUGAAAGCAGGUAACCUUUGCGUUUUCAAUUCUGUUGGGUAUAUACUUAUUACUAGUGUUCGAGUUUGAUUUAUUAACCAAUGAGGGAAGUAGAUCAAAUAAAUUUAAUUACAGUGGGAAUGCACAUAUCACAUAUUAACAUCCAACUUAAAAUCCAUUUGCUCGUAGUCUUUUUGACUGAUUGUACGAUGAAAUGAAACAAAAAAAAUAAUCAUUUAAUACUAUCCGGCCACAAUUUAACUAGGCAACCUAUUUGCAUUAUGUCAAUGUAAAUAUUUUCUAUCAUUAAUUUCUUAUAUCAAAUAAAUAACAGAUGAAGGUAUAUAUUUCUUAUGACCAGACCUACUACUUUCGACACAAGGGCUGCAAGCGGCGUUUUCUUCAGUACAAUGUCAAUGCACAACUGCUAUAGACAUCCGCAAUUUGCGGGUCCGCUGCGGUUGUAUAGUGUGCAAUCAACUUUAAUAAUAAUUGUUAUAGACGAUUUUACUAUAAGCGACAAUAUUGUAUUUAGCUUGUAAUAUUUGUUGUUGAAUAUGUUUAUCUCAUGAUUAAAAUAUGGGUUUAGAAUUAGAAUAGUAAAAUAUGGGGGUGUUCAUAAACUUGUUUUAUGAACAUCCUGUAUAUUGACACUGGCAAUUUUUUGGGAAACAUUUUCAUGUUAAACGCUGAAAUUUUAUAGAGAUUUCUUGUAAAAAAAAUAAUUUAGGUAGUCCUAAUUUUACCAGUGUAAUUAAUUGUAAUUAAACUCUAGAUGUAAGUUUGUUUUUAACUUUUAACAAGAAAGUUUUAAAUUUUAAAAUUAUGCAUUUAUUUAUAAAUAACGAAGAAUAUUAACAUCGUGUGACAGAAAGACAAGAUUCAAAGUUCGGGGUAUUUAAAAAAAAGUAAUAAAUUUGACAUAUGUACUUUCGAGUACACGUAUACACAGAGAACUGCCUCAUUUUCCCAGUUUAGCUUGUACAAUUAACACGAGAUCCUGGGUUCGGAUCCCGGAUCAAGGCAACAAAAAUACAGUUAUUGGAUUUUCCGAAAUUCUCUAUAGUCGCUUCAACUCCGUGCCUCCAAGAAGCACGUAAAGUCGUGAAGCAGCGAUUUUAAGCCUGUAGCCCUAAGGCUUAAACGACAUAUGUCGUGGAGAGAAAAAUUCAUUGUCGACAAAUAGCGGUGGAGUUAAAAAUCUAUAUUUCGAUAAAAUAGCUCUUUCGUCUCAUUAAUGAGAGAACGAUAAUUUCGAUUUUCGGGUAUUGGACGAUAUAUUUCGUCUUUCGCAUAAUAGAUACAUAAUAUACAGAUCUCUCUUGUUUAGUCUAACUGCUGCUUCAUCGGACUGAAAAGAAAAAUAAUGAAAGUUAGGGAAUACAGAAUAAACCUGUGUUUGCACACACACUUGUAUAAUAUCUCCCGUUUGAACUGAGUCUAUAAGUGAGAUUGGCCGCCGAGGCCAAAUUCGGAAUAAUUGUAUGAAUUUAUGUAUUUUAAUUAAUAGGUACAUAACUUAAAUUAUUUAGACUACGAGAUUGUUUUUGAUGUUAUUAAAUAAUAUGUAAUUACCAAGGAUUUAUAUUUAGUUAGUUACCGUAAGCAGCUCCGAAAGAUUAGUGCCAAACAAAAAUUGAAAUAAAAUUGCGUCUUAUUUAAAAUUUUCAACUAUUAAACGUUUAGCAGAAAUCCAUUUUGCACAAUGAAAAUUAAUACCUAAUUUAUUUUAUCAUCCAAUGAAAAUUAAGUGUUCAAUUGUUAAGUAAUUUUACAAUUAUUAUUUUUUUAUAUCGAUCAUAAUAAUAUCAUCCCGAUUUUUUCGCGUCGAUUUAAAUGACAUCAUCGUACUGUAAAAUAUAACCAAUAUCAGACUGUUAAAUGAACGGGCGGCAUCUAGCCGAAUAUAAAUCCGUGAUGAUCACGUUAGUUUGAAUAAUGUCAAUUACCUUCCUAACCUAUUCGCCUUCAGAAUGCCUCUUAAAAUAGUUGUACGAAUUUAUGUUUUUAAGUAAGCAGUUUAUUUAUUAAGUUAUUUUAUAAUAAUCUCGCAAUACAAUAGUGUGUUUAUUAUUGGAUGAUGCGGAUGUCAAAUCAGGAAUCGGAGUUUGAUACAGAAAGGAAAAAUUACUACACACGUACCAGUUUGUGUAAUAAUAGUUUGAGGUAAGCAGCCACUGAUAUAACAUAAGACAAAUACGUCCCAUUUUACAAUGCCUUAUUAAAAUUAUUGACGUAUACAUUAAACAAUCGAGUCAUUUAAGCUUAAUAUUUACAAAAUUAAGUGUUAUUUUUUUAUAUUUUCGAUUUAUUUUAUUUCAAAAACGAUUAACGAGUAUGUCGGUGUACUCUCCAAUCAAUUACAUUAUCCGUCAAACUUCAUACGCGUUGACUGAUCAUCCGCACCAUCCUGUAUGAACAGACUUUAGUCAUAAUACAUUAUUAGUUUCUGAAUUUUAGUAUGAACAAUGAAUUAUUAUUUUAUUUUGCGAAAAGUCGACGAAUAGUAGACUUAAGAUGUGUGCACGACACAUGUCGUAACGAGAAAAAUACAUAUUGCGACCAAUAGCAGCUAACUUGGAAAUAUCGCUCUUUCAGUGCGAUUGGAUAGAAGAGACAAAGAUAUCUUCGAUCGCCUGCUAUUGGUUGACAAUAUUAAGUCUUUUCAUCUUCAAGAGAUAUCGAGAUGUAUCGUUGUUUUUUCGCAAUUUUGUAAUUUAUCUAUGCAAUAAUCGUGAGUUUAAUUAGUUUACUAUAAUAAUAAAUUUAUAAGUUAAUAAUGAAUAUCACUUUGUACGCUUGGUCUUAAGUUUAGUGUUAAGUUUUAGAUCAACAUUGUGUUUAGCACUUGGUAAUUUGUGACAUGUGUCAUAAUUUACUUUACCGUAUAUACCAUGUAUUUUACAAUUUAUUUAACUAUCUACUUUACUUUUCUACAAAUAUUGAAGAUUUUAGAAUUUAAACUAUCGUGAAUGUUAUUCAUAUGCCAGACUAGUUUCGAACCCAUACGGGGCCCUUAGUCAUGUGCUGGUUCUUGCAACGUGGGACGAUCAACUCAUGACUAAAGGCCCCGUAUAGGUUCGAAACUAGGCUGGCAUACUCCGACGUAUCACGUGAGUUUUAGCUGUGUUUUAUAACAAAUUCAUUGAAGAUUUCGUCAAUACUAAACGAUCAUUUAGACUGGUUUUAUAAAUUUAAAGGAACUUUCAAUUGAUACACACACGCGCCUGGAGGGCUAUUCUGUAAAUGAUGUUUCGUAUAAAUCGCAAGUGCGUUCUCUUUCUAUAGUAUCGUUUUAGACAGAGAGAGAUAGAGGUGAAUACGAAACUCGCAUUUGCGAGAUAUAUAAAACAUCGUUACAGAAUAGUCAUCCUGCAGUCCAAUUCACUAACUUUGACGUAUGUUAAUUGAAAUUGAGAUUCUUUAAAACAUAUGUCAUCCGGUGCCAACUGACAACCCUUUGUGGAUAUGAUACAGUAGAAAACAUUUCUCAUUUGAUUUGAUAUUUAUUUUAAUAGGUUGAUAUGAAUAGGCCAGCAAGUUUAUGAUCUUACAUCCAAAGCAAACGGACUUUCCGGAAUAGAUUGACUAUUUGUUCAUUUGUACUUUUUAUUUUUUGUACUCAAGUUGUGGUAUAAAAAGCUUGAGAUUUGUUUUGAAAACCAGAUAUUUAUAUGUACGUUAUUAGAUAUAAAGGAAAAACCUAUAACGUUAAUGUAUAGAAUAAUGUUUUUUAUUCAAUAUAAUCUGACGGCCUCCGUGGCGCAGUGGUACGCGCGGUGGAAUUACAAAACGGAGGUCCUGGGUUCGAUCCCCGGCUGGGCAUUUUGAGAUUUUCUCAAUUGGUCCAGGUCUGGCUGGUGGGAGGCUUCGGCCGUGGCUAGUUACCACCCUACCGGCAAAGACGUACCGCCAAGCGAUUCUUCGUUCCGGUACGAUGCUGUUUAGAAACCGAAAGGGGUGUGGAUUUUCAUCCUCCACCGAACAAGUUAGCCCGCUUCCAUCUUAGACUGCAUCAUCACUUACCAUCAGGUGAGUUUGUAGUCAAGGGGUAACUUGUAAUGAAUAAAAAUAAAUAAAUAAAUAAAAAUGUUAAAAAUUAGCGCUAGAUGACCGUUUAUCGUAGAAAUAAUUCGAAUAAAUUGACGUAUAGUUGCGCCCAGUAGUAGCAAAAGAACAACAAUUUAUAAUUUCCAAAAAAAAAUCUACGAUAGUUAUAAUACAAUACAAAAUCACCGCAAAAAGUGAUACGAAUUUUAGUUCAGGUCUAGCCGCGGGACUUAUUUCAUGGCGCGGAGUCUAAUACGGGACUAUUUCAGGACUAAAUAUCUUUAGUAAGGUGACUGUAGCUACAAUGGAUGCAUGUAGUUCAAAAAAUUGUAGUUUAGAUAAACCGUUUGAAUGUCAAAAAACUAAAUUAGUAAGCUAACUUAACCAUUUACGACAUAUAUAUUUAUAAAUAUACAAUAUACAUAAUAAUAUGAUAUUGUUAAUCAAUUUUGUCUGUGAUGAUUUUUUUACUAUUUAUUCGUACUUCAUUUUCUGACCGGCUUGUUUUUACAAAUGCUUCAAUUGUAAGAUGAGAAGGAAGUUAUUUUUGCACUGAUUAUGUCAAAAGGCGAAGACAAUGGUCAAUGACCCAAACUCCGGCAGCUCAGAGAUAGCGUUUCUGACAGGUCGUACGAAUGGGACAAACAUGUUCAAUUACAAUUACCUCGUUUUUCGUAUCUCUCUCUCUCUCUCUCUCUCUCUCUCUAUCCUGCUCAUGUUACAUCGCCCACCUGUCAAAAAACGCAAACUGAGCAGCCGGACUUCAAUAUAGGUUUUCUCCUAAAUUACAGGAGAACUUACUCUAUGAGCAACUACACAAGCUCAAAAGGGCUAGAACUAUUGUCCUUAAACCAGAAAACCCAUCCCUUUGGACCCAUCCCUAAUAAAUUACAUACACGUAAUUUGAAAAUUGGAUAAACAAUGCGAAAUCUGUUUUAAUUACCAUCGUAUUAUUUAGGUAAACUGUUAGGUACUGAUUUAUUGUUUGCAGUAGCAAACAAAUCCGUUAAAAACAUGUGACGUAUGCCAGAGAGAGACUAAUAAAGACAUACUCGUACGUUGACAUGAAAAGAUCUAUAUAACGUUACAUACACAUAGGUGCUAAAACUUUGUUAUUGAUGAAUAUUGUUUUUAGUAAAAAUAACUUUAUUUAAUUUCCAGAUUUUCAAUAUUUUAUUUAUUGUAACAUUUUCUCCCCGGACGAUUGAGUUACUUAAAUUAAUUCCUUAAUAUUGAUAUUUAAAUACCUGAUUAAUGCGUCUGGCGUCCGCUUCUGACUUGAUGUCUGUACUGUAGUCUGCAUCUCUGUACUGAGCUGUCGAAGACUCAUUCAUGUUUGAUUUUAUAUAGCGCCAUCUAUCGGAAUCUAUCCAAAUUUGCUCUCGGAUGGUACUAUUUAUUUUACAUCUGGUCGGAAUACGACUGUUAUGCAGAAGUACUUACUGUAUUCCGGUCGUAAUCAUGGUUGUCGGUGAAAUUUUUACAGGCAUGAGGCAUACCUGUCUCAGAACACAGAAAACUCCAGAAGGUGUGGUCGCACAUACGAAUGAAGCCGUUGAAAUUACUCUAUUUUUUUUCUUGUGAUUUCACGACCAAGCGAUUAGUAUACCGUGUUGUGUGGCGUGCUAUACAGGUACAUUUUUUGGACACUGCGUGCUUCUGCUUCAUAAUGAUAGCUAAACGUGGCUUCUGCUAUUUUCGGUAUUCUGAGACCUGUCUCAAAUUGAUGGACACAGGGCGGCACUAUGUAGGAUGCGUUCCUUGCUUUGCGAAGUAUAUUAUAUUUAGAUAUUUAUAAAUAAUGGUUUUCAACUUGCCAUCGGUAGCUAACAUGCGACCAAGUGAAGAGAUAUAGACAAAACGUCGACCAAUAGCGGCGGAGUUGUCCUAUCUCUUACGUCCCAAUGCAAUGAAAGAGGUCUUUCCGGUUGCAACGCUAUUGGUUGAAAUUUGUCUAUUCUUUUCACGAUAUUAUCUCGUCGGUCGCAUACACUACAGGUGGGCCCAUCUGCUUGGUCUAUCCAUAAUUAUUACUAAGUAAAAAAGAAAAACUUUAGAAAUUGGAUCGUUUAUCACAACUUAGUUACAUGCAAACUUGUCCGUGUUUUUUAUUUUAUAUCCUAAUUUAUAAUAAAAUAUAAAUGCGAAUGUGAAUUUGUUUUCAUUAUAUCUUAUGCUUUCACGCCUAAACCACAAAUAGUUUUUUUUUUAAAGAACAGUUUAAAUGGAUAAAACACAAAUAUAAUAUGACACAGUAAUAUACUAAAUGAUGAGAUUGUGAUAAUAUAAUGUAGGUAUACUAUAUUAUGUAAUAUAUUAAGUGUAUAUUGUAUUUAAGUAACUAGCCACUUUAAUUUUCGUGUAAAUGUAAGUACAAAAAUGAUUGUAAAACUUGAAAAAAUUGGAUCGCAAAUUCCGAAUAUAAUGCUUGGCUAGGUGGUUUGUAAAAAGUAUUAUUUUUAUGUAAAGAAGAUUAAUAAAAAAAAUAUGUCGA
This is an RNA transcript of Bicyclus anynana (squinting bush brown), 12892 nucleotides long. It is a transcript of the gene named transmembrane protein 165, with no coding region annotated. Lineage: Eukaryota; Metazoa; Arthropoda; Insecta; Lepidoptera; Nymphalidae. The transcript is spliced from 2 exons. The record is from RefSeq and is a predicted model, not a curated record.